UCUGGUUGAUCCUGGCGGAGGCCAUUGCUAUUGGGAUCCGAUUUAGCCAUGCUAGUUGCACGAGUUCAGACUCGUAGCGAAUAGCUCAGUAACACGUGGCCAAACUACCCUUCGGAGCACCAUACCCUCGGGAAACUGAGGCUAAUAGUGCAUCCCGCACUCACCCUGGAAUGGCGAGUGCGUCAAACGCUCCGGCGCCGAAGGAUGUGGCUGCGGCCGAUUAGGUAGACGGUGGGGUAACGGCCCACCGUGCCGAUAAUCGGUACGGGUCAUGAGAGUGAGAACCCGGAGACGGAAUCUGAGACAAGAUUCCGGGCCCUACGGGGCGCAGCAGGCGCGAAACCUUUACACUGCACUACAGUGCGAUAAGGGGAUCCCAAGUGCACAGGCAUAGAGCCUGUGCUUUUGUACACCCUAGGGAGGUGUCCGAAUAAGGGCUGGGCAAGACCGGUGCCAACCGCCGCGGUAAUACCGGCAGCCCGAGUGAUGGCCGAUCUUAUUGGGCCUAAAGCGUCCGUAGCUGGCCGCGCAAGUCCAUCGGGAAAUCCACCCGCUCAACGGGUGGACGUCCGGUGGAAACUGCACGGCUUGGGACCGGAGGGCGCGACGGGUACGUCCGGGGUAGGAGUGAAAUCCCGUAAUCCUGGACGGACCGCCGAUGGCGAAAGCACGUCGCGAGAACGGAUCCGACAGUGAGGGACGAAAGCUAGGGUCUCGAACCGGAUUAAAUACCCGGGUAGUCCUAGCCGUAAACAAUGCCUGCUAGGUGUGGCUCCCACUACNAGUGGGUGCUGUGCCGNANGGAANCCGCUAACCAGGCCGCCUGGN
RNAcentral lists this ribosomal RNA (828 nucleotides) under uncultured archaeon. RNAcentral's name for it is "bacterial SSU rRNA". It matches the Rfam family "Archaeal small subunit ribosomal RNA", at positions 4 to 828 of the family's 1478-position model. The record is from RNAcentral.